This 586-nucleotide ribosomal RNA is filed under the name uncultured bacterium. RNAcentral describes it as "bacterial SSU rRNA". It matches the Rfam family "Bacterial small subunit ribosomal RNA", at positions 338 to 941 of the family's 1533-position model. The record is from RNAcentral.
CCUACGGGAGGCAGCAGUGGGGAAUCUUGCGCAAUGGGCGAAAGCCUGACGCAGCCAUGCCGCGUGAAUGAUGAAGGUCUUAGGAUUGUAAAAUUCUUUCACCGGGGACGAUAAUGACGGUACCCGGAGAAGAAGCCCCGGCUAACUUCGUGCCAGCAGCCGCGGUAAUACGAAGGGGGCUAGCGUUGCUCGGAAUUACUGGGCGUAAAGGGAGCGUAGGCGGAUAGUUUAGUCAGAGGUGAAAGCCCAGGGCUCAACCUUGGAAUUGCCUUUGAUACUGGCUAUCUUGAGUACGGAAGAGGUAUGUGGAACUCCGAGUGUAGAGGUGAAAUUCGUAGAUAUUCGGAAGAACACCAGUGGCGAAGGCGACAUACUGGUCCGUUACUGACGCUGAGGCUCGAAAGCGUGGGGAGCAAACAGGAUUAGAUACCCUGGUAGUCCACGCUGUAAACGAUGAGUGCUAGUUGUCGGCAUGCAUGCAUGUCGGUGACGCAGCUAACGCAUUAAGCACUCCGCCUGGGGAGUACGGUCGCAAGNUUAAAACUCAAAGANAGUGCGNGNGAGNGCGACGAGACGACGAGAGGAG